Molecule: ribosomal RNA, 366 nt
Filed under: uncultured alga
Lineage: Eukaryota
Description: bacterial LSU rRNA
Rfam family: Bacterial large subunit ribosomal RNA
Source: RNAcentral
GCUUGACUGUAUCCUGGAAUUGGGUUCGGGCUUUUCUUGCGCAGCCUAGGUGGGAGGCAUUGAAGAUUUCUUUCCGGGAAGUUGGAGCCAUCAUUGAGAGACCACUCUGGAGAGGCUAGAAUCCUAAUGGUGAUCCUUGAAUCAGGACACUUGACAGUUUCAGGUGGCAGUUUUUCUGGGCGGAAACCUCAUAAAAGGUAACUGAGGCGCGCAAAGGUUCCCUCAGUCUGGACGGAAAUCAGACAACGAGUGUAAAGGCAAAAGGGAGCUUGACUGCAAGACCCACAAGUCGAGCAGGAGCGAAAGCUGGCCUUAGUGAUCCGACGGUGCCGUGUGGAAGGGCCGUCGCUCAACGAAUAAAAGUUA